GAUGAACGCUGGCGGCGUGCCUAAUACAUGCAAGUCGAGCGAACGGACGAGAAGCUUGCUUCUCUGAUGUUAGCGGCGGACGGGUGAGUAACACGUGGAUAACCUACCUAUAAGACUGGGAUAACUUCGGGAAACCGGAGCUAAUACCGGAUAAUAUUUUGAACCGCAUGGUUCAAAAGUGAAAGACGGUCUUGCUGUCACUUAUAGAUGGAUCCGCGCUGCAUUAGCUAGUUGGUAAGGUAACGGCUUACCAAGGCAACGAUGCAUAGCCGACCUGAGAGGGUGGUCGCCCACCCGGGAACGGAGACCCGGCCCAGACCCCUCCGGGGGGCAGCAGUAGGGAAUCUUCCGAAAUGGGCAAAAGCCUGACGGAGCAACGCCGCGGGAGUGAUGAGGGUUUUCGGAUCUAAAAACUCUGUUAUGGGGAAAAAACAUAUGUGUAAGUAACUGUGCACAUCUUGACGUACCCUAAUAAGAAACCCACGGCAAACCACGGG
This 497-nucleotide ribosomal RNA is filed under the name uncultured bacterium. RNAcentral's name for it is "partial 16S ribosomal RNA". It matches the Rfam family "Bacterial small subunit ribosomal RNA", at positions 28 to 507 of the family's 1533-position model. The record is from RNAcentral.